UCCAGACUCCUACGGGAGGCAGCAGUGGGGAAUAUUGCACAAUGGGGGAAACCCUGAUGCAGCGACGCCGCGUGAGUGAAGAAGUAUUUCGGUAUGUAAAGCUCUAUCAGCAGGGAAGAAAAUGACGGUACCUGACUAAGAAGCCCCGGCUAACUACGUGCCAGCAGCCGCGGUAAUACGUAGGGGGCAAGCGUUAUCCGGAUUUACUGGGUGUAAAGGGAGCGUAGACGGCAGAGCAAGUCUGAAGUGAAAGCCCGCGGCCCAACUGCGGGACUGCUCUGGAAACUGCGUCGCUGGAGUACGGGAGGGGCAGGCGGAAUUCCUGGUGUAGCGGUGAAAUGCGUAGAUAUCAGGAGGAACACCGGCGGCGAAGGCGGCCUGCUGGACCGUGACUGACGUUGAGGCUCGAGAGCGUGGGGAGCAAACAGGAUUAGAUACCCGUGUACAA
This 448-nucleotide ribosomal RNA is filed under the name uncultured bacterium. Its description in RNAcentral is "bacterial SSU rRNA". It matches the Rfam family "Bacterial small subunit ribosomal RNA", at positions 330 to 794 of the family's 1533-position model. The record is from RNAcentral.